RNAcentral lists this ribosomal RNA (1107 nucleotides) under Triticum aestivum (bread wheat). RNAcentral describes it as "partial small subunit ribosomal RNA". The record is from RNAcentral. Lineage: Eukaryota; Viridiplantae; Streptophyta; Magnoliopsida; Poales; Poaceae.
AUGAUUACCUGGAUUGUUUAUGACCAUGUGCCCUUGCUCCUCUCUUCUGAGAAUGACCGUCCUCAUCAACCUCAUUUCCGGUUUGAGGAAUUCUGGCUCAACCAGCCCGGUUUUGUUGAGGUCGUCAGCACCCGAUGGGCUGAGGCCCGUGCCGCCGCCUCACGCCCCUUCUCGGUGAUUGACACCAUCCACUUUUGUGCUAAACGCGCUCGCCAGUUUAUGAAGGGCUAGGGUGCGAAUCUUGGCCGUGCCGUUCGCGAGCAUCAGAAGGACAUCCUGGUCUUCGUCCAGGCUCUUGACCUCUGGGCUGACACUUCUGGCCUUUCCCCGGACGAGUGGCUCCUUCGGUACGACCUUGAGGAUCAGCUCUCGGUCAUCUACACGGACGAGGAGGCGUAUUUGCGUCAACGGGGAACCCAUCGAUGGGUCCUUAAGGGUGAUGCUAAUACGGCCUACUUCUAGGCCAUUGCUAAUGGCCGUCGAUGCCGCAAUAGGAUCCCCCUACUCUGGGACGGAGACUCCCUGCUCCAACACCCAGAUGAGAUCCAUGCCCAUGUAGAUGGCUUCUAUAAAGCCCUUUUCUCUCCCUCCUCUCGGGGAGGGGUAAGCCUUGACCCGGAUAUUUGGCAAGGCAGCGACCGCGUCUCUGCUGCAACCAAUGACGCCCUCAUGGCCCCCUUUAGUGAGGCGGAGAUCUGGGCCGCAAUCAAAGGCAUGAACCCCUCAUCCGCCCUGGGCCUGGACGGUGUCCCGGUUAAGUUCUUCUAGACCUUCUGGCUGGUCAUUAAACCGGAGGUGUUAGCGAUAUUUUAGGAAUUCUACGUUACGGCGAUUGACUUGGCCCGGCUGAACUAUGAGAUCAUCACCCUCAUCCCUAAGGUAGCCAGGGCCUCAGACAUCCGUCAGUUCCGCCCUAUUACGGUGAUCAAUGUGAUCUUCCGUAUUCUGGCGAAGGGGUACGCCAAUAGGGUGACCCUCCUAGCUGACCAAAUCACAUACAGGAAUCAAUCGACUUUCAUCAAGGGCCGAUGCAUCCUGGAUGGGGUUUUGGUGUUCCAUGAAGUCCUUCAUGAGGUCGCAUCCGGCAUCAGUAGGCGGUCUUCCUGA